CCUACGGGAGGCAGCAGUGAGGAAUAUUGGUCAAUGGCCGAGAGGCUGAACCAGCCAAGUCGCGUGAGGGAAGACGGCCCUACGGGUUGUAAACCUCUUUUGUCGGGGAGCAAAGCGAGUCACGUGUGACUCAUUGAGAGUACCCGACGAAAAAGCAUCGGCUAACUCCGUGCCAGCAGCCGCGGUAAUACGGAGGAUGCGAGCGUUAUCCGGUUUUAUUGGGUUUAAAGGGUGCGCGGGCGGAGGUGAAAGUCAGCGGUCAAAUUGCGGGGCUCAACCCGGUACUGCCGUUGAAACUGCAUGCCUGGAGUGCGCGUGCAGUAGGCGGAAUGUGUGGUGUAGCGGUGAAAUGCAUAGAUAUCACACAGAACUCCGAUUGCGAAGGCAGCAUACCGAGGCGCAACUGACGCUGAUGCACGAAAGCGUGGGUAUCGAACAGGAUUAGAUACCCUGGUAGUC
Molecule: ribosomal RNA, 459 nt
Filed under: uncultured bacterium
Lineage: Bacteria
Description: partial 16S ribosomal RNA
Rfam family: Bacterial small subunit ribosomal RNA
Source: RNAcentral